Molecule: ribosomal RNA, 497 nt
Filed under: uncultured bacterium
Lineage: Bacteria
Description: partial 16S ribosomal RNA
Rfam family: Bacterial small subunit ribosomal RNA
Source: RNAcentral
GAUGAACGCUGGCGGCGUGCCUAAUACAUGCAAGUCGAGCGAACGGACGAGAAGCUUGCUUCUCUGAUGUUAGCGGCGGACGGGUGAGUAACACGUGGAUAACCUACCUAUAAGACUGGGAUAACUUCGGGAAACCGGAGCUAAUACCGGAUGAUAUUUUGAACCGCAUGGUUCAAAAGUGAAAGACGGUCUUGCUGUCACUUAUAGAUGGAUCCCCGCUGCAUUAGCUAGUUGGUAAGGUAACGGCUUACCAAGGGAACGAGGCAUAGCCGACUGGAGAGGGUGACGGCCCACACUGGAACUGGGCAACGCUCAAGCCGCCUCAGGGAGGAGGCAGAAGGGAACUUCCCGAAAUGGGCGAAAGCCUGACGGAGCAACGCCGCGUAAGGGAUGAAGGUCUUCGGAUCGUAAACCUCUGUGAUUAGGGAAGAACAUAUGUGUAAGUAAAUGUGCACAUAUUGACGGUACCUACCCAGAAAGCCACGGCUAACUACGUG